CGAUAGCUUAUACGUCCUACAGAUUAGAAAAGAACAAAAAUGGAAGCUCGACAAAUAUUCAGUACCAAUGCACAGCUGGAGUUCCCGCCACCUACAUUGAGCAGAGAUGGGCAUGAACUUUCCUCGUCACAGAAAACAACUGAUGGAGAAAGAUGAAUCGGGUUUCUCAACUAUCCCAGGAGCUGCAUAGCAUUGGAAGAAAAUCAUGGAGAUGAGCCAAUGCAAAGCAUUGCUGGUCAUGGCGAUUCAUGAAAGGGCAGAGCAAAAAAACAAAGGGAUCCAUCACAAGCUCAUACAGAACUCAUGUGAUGCCGCCAAUGUCCGGUGGCGACAUCGUCCCGUCUGCUUCUUUAUCUCCGACACGAGCAGGUUAGGAAACAACCCAGAACC
Long non-coding RNA from Tarenaya hassleriana, 390 nucleotides. RefSeq lists it as uncharacterized. NCBI's taxonomy places the organism in Eukaryota, Viridiplantae, Streptophyta, Magnoliopsida, Brassicales, Cleomaceae. The record is from RefSeq and is a predicted model, not a curated record. The transcript is spliced from 4 exons.